This 639-nucleotide ribosomal RNA is filed under the name Triticum aestivum (bread wheat). RNAcentral describes it as "partial small subunit ribosomal RNA". Lineage: Eukaryota; Viridiplantae; Streptophyta; Magnoliopsida; Poales; Poaceae. The record is from RNAcentral.
AUGCGGCUCAAGUGUUUGUCAGAUGAUCCAAUACAAAAGCAAAAGGUUGCUGAAUUUGCAGAGUGGAUACUACAGAUUGGCGAUGGGAAAACGACAUCAGAUGAAGGAGAGGAUUGGAUAAAAAUACCAAAAGACCUACUGCUAGAGAAAGGAGAAAAUCGUAAAGAACAAAUCGUCAAAAGCAUAUACCCAAAUUUGCUGCAAAAAUACCGUGAGCGGGAUUACCUAGAAGAAAGAGCAAUACUAUGUCCAAGAAAUGAUACAGUCAAGGAGAUAAAUGACCACAUAAUGAGCCAAAUACAAGGUGAAGAGGUGACAUACCUAAGCCUGGACACAGUGUGCAAGGCAACGACAAAUACCAACAUCAUGAUGAACUUGCAGCCUACUGAGUUCCUCAACACCUUAACGUCCCCAGGAAUACCAGACCAUAAGUUAAAACUGAAGGUGGGAUUGCCGGUCAUGCUCCUACGCAACAUCAACCAAGCAGCAGGCUUAUGCAACGGUACAAGAAUGACAAUUACACAACUUGGAAACAAAUACAUCGAGACACAAAUAAUCACAGGAACACAUGUCGGCGAUAAGGUAUACAUACCUCGAAUCAUCAUGUCACCAAGCGACUCAAAAUGGCCAUUCAUGCUG